GGCGAUCAGAUACCGCCCUAGUUCUGACCGUAAACGAUGCCAACUAGCGAUCCGCCAGUCGACUCAUCGCUCUGGUGGGGAGCUUCCCGGAAACGAAAGUCUUCCGGUUCCGGGGGAAGUAUGGUUGCAAAGCUGAAACUUAAAGGAAUUGACGGAAGGGCACCACCAGGAGUGGAGCCUGCGGCUUAAUUUGACUCAACACGGGGAAACUCGCCCGGCCCGGACACCGUAAGGAUUGACAGAUUGAUAGCUUUUUCAUGAUUCGGUGGAUGGUGGUGCAUGGCCGUUCUUAGUUCGUGGAGCGAUUUGUCUGGUUUAUUCCGAUAACGAGCGAGACUCUGGCCUACUAAAUAGUUGACGCAUUGCCACUGUGCGCACAACUUCUUAGAGGGAUUUUCGGUGUUUUCAACCGCACGAAAUUGAGCAAUAACAGGUCUGUGAUGCCCUUAGAUGUCCGGGGCUGCACGCGCGCUACACUGGCAAACGCAACGUGCCUGUCCUGCCCCGAAAGGAGCGGGUAAACCCCUGAAAUUUUGCCGUGAUUGGGAUCGGGCAUUGCAGCUAUUGUCCGUGAACGAGGAAUUCCUUGUAGGGGCGAGUCAUCAACUCGUCCCGAAUACGUCCCUGCCCUUUGUA
RNAcentral lists this ribosomal RNA (636 nucleotides) under Rotylenchulus reniformis. Its description in RNAcentral is "SSU rRNA". It matches the Rfam family "Eukaryotic small subunit ribosomal RNA", at positions 1003 to 1664 of the family's 1831-position model. Lineage: Eukaryota; Metazoa; Nematoda; Chromadorea; Rhabditida; Hoplolaimidae. The record is from RNAcentral.